This is a small nucleolar RNA of Sphaeramia orbicularis (orbiculate cardinalfish), 216 nucleotides long. Ensembl annotates it as small nucleolar RNA U3. NCBI's taxonomy places the organism in Eukaryota, Metazoa, Chordata, Actinopteri, Kurtiformes, Apogonidae. The record is from Ensembl.
AAGACUAUACUUUCAGGGAUCAUUUCUAUAGUUAUCAACUUGAGAAAUGUGUUUCUAAAGUGUUUGGUCUCGCUAACCACGAUGAAGAGUUGUGAUAUUCCCUUCUGAGCGCGAAGCGGAUGGAGAAAAAUGAUUCAUUUCAUACGUUCUCUAUCAUUGAUGACCGUUCUUUGCUUCUUCUGGAGCAUAGAGGAGGGGAGUAUGAUCAGAGUGGUU